Molecule: long non-coding RNA, 1733 nt
Filed under: Physcomitrium patens
Lineage: Eukaryota; Viridiplantae; Streptophyta; Bryopsida; Funariales; Funariaceae
Description: long non-coding RNA (PPAT_LNC007600)
Source: RNAcentral
UUUUUGGUGUUGUGGUUUGCAGGAGCUCUGAGAUACCAAGUGGUUGCGGUUGGAGGUUUUCUUCCUUCCUUGUUGGACUACUGAGGUUUUCUCUCCUUUUAGUUGGGUUGCGAAGUGCGAAACUCCGCAUUCAGUAUUUUUUUCUUCCUCUUUGUUGCAGUGUUGCAAUGAUUGUUCUUCCCUUCUUCGCUGUGGUGCGACGAAGCUCCAUGCAUUCUAGCAAGUGGCAACUAGGCAUUAUUUUGAUUGUUUUCUCUGUUGAAGGGUUGCAGUGGCAUCAUAUCGAUUGGGCUCAACUUCGUGCAGUGGUACCAUUGAAUAUCAUAUUAUGCUAUUGAUUUUGUCUUGUGGUGUGGAAUCAAUCGAUCCUCAUAUGGUUACGGCAAUUAUUAAGAGAAACUCUUUGCGGUGGUACAGUGUGGUUUUGAGAGUGCAGCUUGUGUCGGGCCCUUGCAUCAAUUGUUGUCAAUUACUUAGAGUAAUCAGAAGAAUUUAAUUUUGUUGUUUUCUUCUUUCUUCCCCUGGUGUAGCAUUGUGAUAAGGCUUACAGUUCGGUAAUCGGGUUGCAGCUAGAUCAACACCAUAUCUAGUCCUUGCUUAAGGCGUCACCUGCAUAUUGGGCUCUCAAUCAAUUGUUUAGUUGAAUUCUGGACACAAAAUUGCAACUCAUUCAAGGAUGCACACUAGUCAUGAGGCUCGCAUAAAAAAGUGUUACGAUCAAUCAUAACUCGCCUUACAACAAUCCAUCUUGAUUGUGGGAUUGCUAGUAUUAAUAUAGCAUGAUCAGGACGUGUUACUGUAAUAAUCUGUACCAACCAAGAAGCGUCAAAAUUGUAGCAUCCUUGGUUCAAUGUGGAAUCUAUAGUAGCGCACAUUGCUAAUUGAAAUUAGGGUAGACUUAGAUCUGGCUUUCUUGAAUACGGUGGAAGUCUCAAACGGACGAUUCCAAUUGCAAAGUCUAGCAACGUGAAAAUCGGUGAUUCUUAUAGGUACAACAGAUUGAGUCUCAACUAGGUUUCAAACUUGAAGGCUCCAGCAUCAACAAGUCUAUAGCCAAUGGUUAUAGAGCACAGCCACAAAGAGCAUCUUGGAUAGAGAGGCAUUGAAGGAUGGAGAUGUUGGCCAUUGAGCUUUCGAUUAAGGGAACCAUAUUGAGGACAUUCAGACCAAGGAAUUGUGAGUUCUUUGUUGUACUGCAACAUCUCCAAGCUUAAGAUCUUUGGAAUCUUGUAUAAGAAUUAGAACCAAUUCAAUAAAUAAAUAAAUAGGCACAAUUAAUUAAUAUUAAGAGUGACUGAAAGACGGUUUACAAAUCAGGUUAAACUUGAAUGAAUCAGGUUAAUUUUGGAUGAGUUGUUGUAAAUGAGAAAAUAUUCUAUUGGAUGGAAAACUAUUUGGAGAUGAAUACUCAUUUAUGGAUGAUAAAUCAAUUGUAGACAAAAAAAAAAAAUCUUUGGAUGAACUUUUAACUUGGAGGAUUUUAUUUUUUACUAAAUAAAAAAUUAAAAUAAAAUAAACUAAUAUAAAAAAUUCUCUUCAAUUGUGUAUAUGGUUUUUAUUUGUGAAGUGGCUUGCAUUGUGGUUUUAGAUUUGUAUGUGUGAAUUUUAAUUAGUUAGAAAAAUUAAGUUCUUUAGUAGGAAGAAAGAAAGAAUUUUAUUCAAUUAUUCCAUAAGUUAAUUAGUAGUUGCGGAUUAGGGAUAAUCCUUUUGGCACAAAUAUUUUGGAAUUUCUU